UGGCUCAGACGGUAAAGCGUCUGCCUGCAAUGCAGGAGACCCAGGUUCGAUCCUUGG
Molecule: transfer RNA, 57 nt
Filed under: Ovis aries (sheep)
Lineage: Eukaryota; Metazoa; Chordata; Mammalia; Artiodactyla; Bovidae
Rfam family: tRNA
About the family: Transfer RNA (tRNA) molecules are approximately 80 nucleotides in length. Their secondary structure includes four short double-helical elements and three loops (D, anti-codon, and T loops). Further hydrogen bonds mediate the characteristic L-shaped molecular structure. tRNAs have two regions of fundamental functional importance: the anti-codon, which is responsible for specific mRNA codon recognition, and the 3' end, to which the tRNAs corresponding amino acid is attached (by aminoacyl-tRNA synthetases). tRNAs cope with the degeneracy of the genetic code in two manners: having more than one tRNA (with a specific anti-codon) for a particular amino acid; and 'wobble' base-pairing, i.e. permitting non-standard base-pairing at the 3rd anti-codon position.
Source: Rfam by way of RNAcentral